RNAcentral lists this long non-coding RNA (586 nucleotides) under Homo sapiens (human). RNAcentral describes it as "non-protein coding lnc-ERCC1-1:4". Lineage: Eukaryota; Metazoa; Chordata; Mammalia; Primates; Hominidae. The record is from RNAcentral.
AACAAGGGCCCGUCAGGCUCAGAAGCCCCGUGGCCUCCACUUCACACUUCACUUCUCCCAGGCCUAGCUCGCUUCUCCAAGCACUUGCCCCUUCUGUUCCCUCUGCCCAAUUACCUGCCUAAUUCCUUUUUUUUUUUUUUGAGAUGGAGUCUCACUCUCUUGCCCAGGCUGGAGUGCAAUGACAUGAUCUCGGCUCACUGCAACCUCUGCCUCCCAGGUUCAAGUGAUUCUCCUGCCUGAGCCUCCUGAGUAGCUGGGACUACAGGUGACUGAAUGUCUGACCACCGUGAAGUCAGUCAACAAAACGGACAGUCAGACCCUCCUGACCACAUUUGGAUCUCUGGAACAGCUCAUCGCCGCAUCAAGAGAAGAUCUGGCCUUAUGCCCAGGCCUGGGCCCUCAGAAAGCCCGGAGGCUGUUUGAUGUCCUGCACGAGCCCUUCUUGAAAGUACCCUGAUGACCCCAGCUGCCAAGGAAACCCCCAGUGUAAUAAUAAAUCGUCCUCCCAGGCCAGGCUCCUGCUGGCUGCGCUGGUGCAGUCUCUGGGGAGGGAUUCUGGGGGUGUCACCUUCUGGUGGCCCAGGUG